AGCGGCGGACGGGUGAGUAACACGUGGGUAAUUUGCCCUUGGGUGUGGAAUAACUCAGGGAAACUUGAGCUAAUACCGCAUGACAUCCUCUUCGCACACGAGUUGAGGAUCAAAGCCGGGGACCCUUCGGGGCCUGGCGCCUGAGGAGAAGCCCGCGUCCGAUUAGCUAGUUGGUGAGGUAAUGGCUCACCAAGGCUACGAUCGGUAGCCGGCCUGAGAGGGCGGACGGCCACACUGGGACUGAGACACGGCCCAGACUCCUACGGGAGGCAGCAGUGGGGAAUUUUUGUCAAUGGGGGAAACCCUGAACAAGCAACGCCGCGUGGAGGACGAAGACCUUCGGGUUGUAAACUCCUGUCGGAGGGGACGAAAGCGGUUGAGGCUAAUAUCCUCGAUCGUUGACGGUACCCUACGAGGAAGCCCCGGCUAACUCCGUGCCAGCAGCCGCGGUAAUACGGGGGGGGCAAGCGUUGUUCGGAAUUACUGGGCGUAAAGGGCGCGUAGGCGAGCGGGCAAGUCUCUCGUGAAAUCCCACGGCUCAACCGUGGAACUGCGGGAGAUACUGCCUGUCUUGAGUCCGGGAGAGGAGGGUGGAAUUCCCAGUGUAGCGGUGAAAUGCGUAGAUAUUGGGAGGAACACCGGUGGCGAAGGCGGCCCUCUGGACCGGUACUGACGCUGAGGCGCGAAAGCUAGGGGAGCAAACGGGAUUAGAUACCCCGGUAGUCCUAGCCGUAAACGAUG
RNAcentral lists this ribosomal RNA (741 nucleotides) under uncultured bacterium. RNAcentral's name for it is "bacterial SSU rRNA". It matches the Rfam family "Bacterial small subunit ribosomal RNA", at positions 94 to 811 of the family's 1533-position model. The record is from RNAcentral.